This 347-nucleotide transfer-messenger RNA is filed under the name Peptococcaceae bacterium. It matches the Rfam family "transfer-messenger RNA". From Rfam's summary of the family: Bacterial tmRNA, also known as 10Sa RNA or SsrA, is named for its dual tRNA and mRNA-like properties. Its role is to liberate the mRNA from a stalled ribosome. To accomplish this part of the tmRNA is used as a reading frame that ends in a translation stop signal. Lineage: Bacteria; Bacillati; Bacillota; Clostridia; Eubacteriales; Peptococcaceae. The record is from RNAcentral.
GGGGGUGUACUGGUUUCGACGGGGGAUGCGGUGGCGGAAGAGGCGGACCGGGUUGGCGCCAGCCCGUAAAAAAGGCGCAAAACCAAUAAUUGCCAAUAAUCAAUACGCUUUAGCUGCUUAAUUGCAGUUGACCUCCAUCCUUCUGUGCCUGCGGUGAGGGAAUGGGGGACAAUCAGCAGGCUGCUCUCAGGUGAUCGCUUCGUAGCCUGAGGGGACUUUUAGAAGCUGGCGGAAGGAAACCUUGUCUGUGGGGGUUCCGGAAGCGAGAUUCAAAUCGCGGACUACGUUCGUAGAAUCUUCCGUGGCUGUUCUUUCGGACAGGGGUUCGACUCCCCUCACCUCCACCA